Molecule: ribosomal RNA, 459 nt
Filed under: uncultured bacterium
Lineage: Bacteria
Description: partial 16S ribosomal RNA
Rfam family: Bacterial small subunit ribosomal RNA
Source: RNAcentral
CCUACGGGAGGCAGCAGUGAGGAAUAUUGGUCAAUGGACGGGAGUCUGAACCAGCCAAGUAGCGUGAAGGAUGACAGCCCUAUGGGUUGUAAACUUCUUUUAUAAGGGAAUAAAGUGCCGCACGUGUGCGUUUUUGUAUGUACUUUAUGAAUAAGGAUCGGCUAAUUCCGUGCCAGCAGCCGCGGUAAUACGGAAGAUCCGAGCGUUAUCCGGAUUUAUUGGGUUUAAAGGGAGCGUAGGGGGGUCUUUAAGUCAGUGGUAAAAGUUUGCGGCUCAACGGUAAAGUUCAGUUGAUACUGGGGGUCUUGAGUAUAGGUGAGGUAGGUGGAAUUCGUGGUGUAGCGGUGAAAUGCUUAGAUAUCACGAAGAACCCCGAUUGCGAAGGCAGUGUACUAAACUGAGACUGACGUUGAGGCUCGAAAGUGUGGGUAUCAAACAGGAUUAGAUACCCCAGUAGUC